RNAcentral lists this ribosomal RNA (253 nucleotides) under uncultured bacterium. RNAcentral's name for it is "partial 16S ribosomal RNA". It matches the Rfam family "Bacterial small subunit ribosomal RNA", at positions 524 to 776 of the family's 1533-position model. The record is from RNAcentral.
UACGGGGGGGGCAAGCGUUGUUCGGAAUUACUGGGCGUAAAGAGCUCGUAGGCGGCUUGUCGCGUCGGCUGUGAAAACCCGAAGCUCAACUUCGGGCCUGCAUCCGAAACUGCCCGACUAGAGGUAGGUAGGGGAGAUCGGAAUUCCUGGUGUAGCGGUGAAAUGCGCAGAUAUCAGGAGGAACACCGGUGGCGAAGGCGGAUCUCUGGGCCUUACCUGACGCUCAGGUGCGAAAGCUAGGGGAGCGAACAGG